GUAGGAGGCGAGCGUUGUCCGGAUUUACUGGGCGUAAAGCGCGCGCAGGCGGCACUUCAAGUAAGGUGUGAAAUCUCCCUGCUCAACGGGGAGGGUGCACUUUAGACUGAGGAGCUAGAGGACGGUAGAGGGGGGUGGAAUUGCUGGUGUAGCGGUGAAAUGCGUAGAGAUCAGCAGGAACACCCGUGGCGAAGGCGGCCCCCUGGGCCGUACCUGACGCUGAGGCGCGAAGGCUAGGGGAGCGAACGGGAUUAGAUACCCCGGUAGUCCUAGCAGUAAACGAUGGCCACUAGGUGUGGGGGGUGUUGACCCCUUCCGUGCCGAAGCCAACGCAUUAAGUGGCCCGCCUGGGGAGUACGGUCGCAAGACUAAA
RNAcentral lists this ribosomal RNA (373 nucleotides) under uncultured bacterium. RNAcentral describes it as "bacterial SSU rRNA". It matches the Rfam family "Bacterial small subunit ribosomal RNA", at positions 527 to 898 of the family's 1533-position model. The record is from RNAcentral.